RNAcentral lists this small RNA (179 nucleotides) under Gopherus agassizii (Agassiz's desert tortoise). RNAcentral's name for it is "TUC338 (ENSGAGG00000018998.1)". The record is from RNAcentral. Lineage: Eukaryota; Metazoa; Chordata; Testudines; Testudinidae.
CUGACAAACCUAAAGAAUAAAGUCCUCUCUCCACAGACACAGAACAGAUACAGUAAAGGCAGCAGCAGUGAAAGUUUACCCAUAUGUCCUACCACCAUGUCUCAACACUGACCUGGAGAGACCACCUCUAUGAAAAGUGAUGGUAUUCCAGUUUUCAUGCCAAUUCAUUUGUGGCCUCU